RNAcentral lists this ribosomal RNA (189 nucleotides) under Bacillus cereus. RNAcentral's name for it is "partial 23S ribosomal RNA". It matches the Rfam family "Bacterial large subunit ribosomal RNA", at positions 2737 to 2925 of the family's 2925-position model. The record is from RNAcentral. Lineage: Bacteria; Bacillati; Bacillota; Bacilli; Caryophanales; Bacillaceae. RNAcentral also lists the same sequence under 3 other names.
AUAGCUGGGUAGCUAUGUGCGGAAGGGAUAAGUGCUGAAAGCAUCUAAGCAUGAAGCCCCCCUCAAGAUGAGAUUUCCCAUAGCGUAAGCUAGUAAGAUCCCUGAAAGAUGAUCAGGUUGAUAGGUUCGAGGUGGAAGCAUGGUGACAUGUGGAGCUGACGAAUACUAAUAGAUCGAGGACUUAACCAU